CCAAUAGCGUAUAUUAAAGUUGUUGCAGUUAAAAAGCUCGUAGUUGAAUUUUGGAUUCUACCAAUCGGUCCAUCUUUUGAUGAGUACUGGUUGUGUGGGGUCUAUCCGCCUGGUAAUACGUAAUGUCCUUUAUUGGAUGUUGCGGGUAGUCAGGACCUUUACCUUGAAAAAAUUAGAGUGUUUAAAGCAGGCUUAUGCCGGAAUACAUUAGCAUGGAAUAAUAGAAUAGGACGAAGUUGUUUUAUUUUUUUGGUUUCUAGGACAACCGUAAUGAUUAAUAGGGAUAGUUGGGGGCAUUAGUAUUCAAUUGUCAGAGGUGAAAUUCUUGGAUUUAUUGAAGACUAACUAUUGCGAAAGCAUUUGCCAAGGAUGUUUUCAUUAAUCAAGAACGAAAGUUAGGGGAUCGAAGACGAUCAGAUACCGUCGUAGUCUUAACCAUAAACUAUGCCGACUAGGGAUCGGGCGAUGUUGUUUCAAUGACUCGCUCGGCACCUUAUG
This 498-nucleotide unclassified non-coding RNA is filed under the name uncultured Archaeospora. RNAcentral describes it as "SSU rRNA". It matches the Rfam family "Eukaryotic small subunit ribosomal RNA", at positions 591 to 1092 of the family's 1831-position model. Lineage: Eukaryota; Fungi; Glomeromycota; Glomeromycetes; Archaeosporales; Archaeosporaceae. The record is from RNAcentral.